RNAcentral lists this ribosomal RNA (253 nucleotides) under uncultured bacterium. Its description in RNAcentral is "partial 16S ribosomal RNA". It matches the Rfam family "Bacterial small subunit ribosomal RNA", at positions 524 to 776 of the family's 1533-position model. The record is from RNAcentral.
UACGUAGGGGGCAAGCGUUGUCCGGAUUCAUUGGGCGUAAAGAGCGUGUAGGCGGCCAGGUAGGUCGGUUGUGAAAACUGGAGGCUCAACCUUCAGAGGUCGACCGAAACCAUCUGGCUAGAGUCCGGGAGAGGAGAGUGGAAUUCCUGGUGUAGCGGUGAAAUGCGCAGAUAUCAGGAAGAACACCUGUGGCGAAGGCGGCCAUCUGGACGGUAACUGACGCUGAGACGCGAAAGCGUGGGUAGCAAACAGG